RNAcentral lists this ribosomal RNA (492 nucleotides) under uncultured bacterium. Its description in RNAcentral is "partial 16S ribosomal RNA". It matches the Rfam family "Bacterial small subunit ribosomal RNA", at positions 29 to 507 of the family's 1533-position model. The record is from RNAcentral.
AGUGAACGCUGGCGGUAGGCCUAACACAUGCAAGUCGAACGGCAGCACAGUAAGAGCUUGCUCUUACGGGUGGCGAGUGGCGGACGGGUGAGGAAUACAUCGGAAUCUACUUUUUCGUGGGGGAUAACGUAGGGAAACUUACGCUAAUACCGCAUACGACCUACGGGUGAAAGCAGGGGAUCUUCGGACCUUGCGCGAUUGAAUGAGCCGAUGUCGGAUUAGCUGGUUGGCGGGGUAAAGGCCCACCAAGGCGACGAUCCGUAGCUGGUCUGAGAGGAUGAUCAGCCACACUGGAACUGAGACACGGUCCAGACUCCUACGGGAGGCAGCAGUGGGGAAUAUUGGACAAUGGGCGCAAGCCUGAUCCAGCCAUACCGCGUGGGUGAAGAAGGCCUUCGGGUUGUAAGGCCCUUUUGUUGGGAAAGAAAAGCAGCAGGUUAAUACCCCGCUGUUCUGACGGUACCCAAAGAAUAAGCACCGGCUAACUUCGUG